UCUUCAGCAGCAGAUUCUACUACUACAUCAAAAAAAUUCAAUUCAAUUAGGGAAAUGUGAUUCAUGAAAUUGUUUGACACCCAAUAAAGCAUCCUGUGAGAUUCUGUCUUACUGGUAUUAUCUUUUUCUUUUGUAGCUCUUUUUAACAUUUAUUUUUAGAGAGAGGGAAACAUCAAUUUGUUGUUCCACUUAUUUAUACAUUCAUUGGUUGCUUCUUGUAUGUGCCCUGAUGGAUCAAGCCCACAACCUGGGCAUAUUGGGACGAUGUUCUAAUCAACUGAGCUACCCGGCCAGGGCCUUCCUCUUAUAGCUCUUAUCAAUAACAACAUCCCGGGUUUAUACCCUCAAUAACGCAUGAGCUCUAGAUGACAGGUGUGAGAGAACCCCCGCAAAAAAGUGACUAAAAUUUGGAGCAUAAACUGUAGAGUUUCUCAAAGGCCUAAAAUACUGGCGCUUAUUAAGUUGCGGUAAAUAAAAGGGAAGAGAAAUAUUUUGUACUUUCAGGCAGAUUAUGCAGUUUUUCUGGGAAAUUGGUCAAGAGAAGGAACUUCCCCAAAAGGAGGGCGGGCCCUGCCAGAGGGCAAUUAGGAGGGCUGGGCUGGGUCGUGAGUUCCUGGAAGCAGGGAGGGGCCGGCUAGGAGCAGGACGCUGGAAGGUAAUCCAAAUCAAAGUCCUCAGAUGCGUCAGCAAGGCCAAAGGGCAUAGCAUAAACAGGGCCCCAAACCAGACACGGCCAGUGACCGGGCUUCUGGGCUGAGCUGGAUGAGAAUGGAGUUAGGAGCAAGCGGGGAGGCACCAGGCCAAGAGUAAAGUCAAAGUUCAUUGGUCUCUGGGUGCGUGAGUGGGGCGUGCUGACCCAGCACUUGAACUCUGUACACCAUCCUAAGAUUGUGACAGCCAUGACCUCCGACAGAAUUACCCCCACCCUUGGUCCUUGGCAAUGGACUCUGCUGUUCCUACUACCACAAGGUGGCAUCUAUGCCACCUCCCCUGGAGUCUGCGCUGGCUUUGUGACUUGCUUUGACCAAUAGGAUGUGGUAGGAGUGAUGUUGUCCACCUUCUGAGGCUGGGCUCCCUUUCAGAAUGUUUCUAUCAUCAAGUAAAGAAGCCCAGCAUGGAAGACCGGAGGAGAGGAAGCCUAGGCCCCCCAACCACGCCACGCUGCCAACGGACUGCAGCUGCACGCAUAAGACAAGCAGAGGAACUCACAGAACCGUAAGAAGUAAUAGAUUGUUGGCAAAAGACUGAAAAUGACCCAUGGCAGGCUGUAUUUUCUAAAGAUGGAAGCAGCAAUAGAUCCCAUUUCCCAUGCUCUUCUUCAAGGUGAUGUUGGCCCUCCUCCACUGGGAGGUGGGGCCUAUUCCCUCCCCUGGAACCUGGACAGACCAAUAGAAUACAGUGGAAGCCAAGGCACGUGACUCCCAAGGCUAGCUGCCACCUCGGCCCCUGCACAGCCCACGCCGUGGGAUCCAGCCUCCUGCUGUGAGGACGCUGAGCAGCUCUGCGAGGCCCGUGUGGAGUGAACCAAGGCCCCAGCCCGCGGCCAGCACCACAUGCCAGCGCCACGAGCGAGGGAUUAGAAACCAUCCUCCAGGCCCAGGUGACUGCAGGCCCAGAGGCCCCAGAUAAGGAAACUGAGGCUCGGAGAGUUUCCAUCGCUUGCUCAAGACCACACAGCGGUGGAGGCUGAUCGGGUUUUGGCCUGAGUCUUCUGACUAUACAAGCUGUGAUGUAACCACAACACCCACUGUCUCUUUUGGGGGAACACUGUGAGAGCUGGUCAACUGCACCCCUAACAGCCUACUGGUGUUCUCUUUCUGUGGAGCCAGCCUCCUGUCUGGAAUUUUCUCUUGCCCGUCCCUUUCUCCUGGGCAGCACCGGAGCUUUCAACCCAGCCUCGCAAGUGCAGAGACCUCCUGUGGCUGCGCAGCGCCCAGUGCAGGCCACCUCUGUCCUGGGCCGUCAAUCACGUCUCGAGGCCUUGCCCCCAAGUCCCUUCAACAGAGCCCAACAACCUGGUUUCAAGCUCCUCAGCGGGGUCUUCACCAAAGGUCACCUUGGGAGAGAUGUCAGGGGCAGAUGACAGCGGUGAGAGGCCACCGGGAAGGGUGGCAGGGCAUCGGCCACCCUGGCGGGCGCCUUGUUUCCUUGGUGGCAUCUUUUCAGCCAAAGCAAAUAUAGCGGCAGUCGUGGGCUGCUCGGCACCGCACGCGUGUCCUUCUCCAGCCGCGGGCCCUGGAGGACAGCUCUCAGCUGGUCGAGAGCACUGGCAUCCUGCCCAACUUCGCUCGGCUCUCAAGGUCACAGAGAACACUGUCCUGUGACCAAUGCUGGGUCAAUCCCGCAAUCAGACUCAUUAGAAGCAUUGCUGGGGUGGUGAGAAGAAAUUUCAAUAGUGCUGCAAAAAGAGACCUGUUUACCUCACCCCAUGAGGAUGGCUACUCUUUUUUUUUAAUAUAUAUAUUUUUUUUCAUUGAUAUCAGAGAGGGAGAAAUGGAAACAUCAAUGAUGAGAGAGAACCAUUGAUCGGCUGCCUCCUGGGCA
Myotis myotis is the source of this 2544-nucleotide long non-coding RNA. RefSeq lists it as uncharacterized. The record is from RefSeq and is a predicted model, not a curated record. NCBI's taxonomy places the organism in Eukaryota, Metazoa, Chordata, Mammalia, Chiroptera, Vespertilionidae. The transcript has 3 exons.